UACGUAGGGGGCAAGCGUUGUCCGGAAUCAUUGGGCGUAAAGAGCGUGUAGGCGGCUCGGUAAGUCCGCUGUGAAAGUCCAGGGCUCAACCCUGGAAUGCCGGUGGAAACUGUCGAGCUAGAGUCCGGAAGAGGCGAGUGGAAUUCCUGGUGUAGCGGUGAAAUGCGCAGAUAUCAGGAGGAACACCAAUGGCGAAGGCAGCUCGCUGGGAUGGUACUGACGCUGAGACGCGAAAGCGUGGGGAGCAAACAGG
This 253-nucleotide ribosomal RNA is filed under the name uncultured bacterium. Its description in RNAcentral is "partial 16S ribosomal RNA". It matches the Rfam family "Bacterial small subunit ribosomal RNA", at positions 524 to 776 of the family's 1533-position model. The record is from RNAcentral.